This 120-nucleotide ribosomal RNA is filed under the name Helianthus annuus (common sunflower). Lineage: Eukaryota; Viridiplantae; Streptophyta; Magnoliopsida; Asterales; Asteraceae. The record is from RNAcentral.
GGUUGCGAUCAUACCAGCACUAAUGCACCGGAUCCCAUCAGAACUUCGCAGUUAAGCGUGCUUGGGCGAGAGUAGUACUAGGAUGGGUGACCCCUUGGGAAGUCCUCGUGUUGCAACCCC